Molecule: long non-coding RNA, 514 nt
Filed under: Vitis vinifera (wine grape)
Lineage: Eukaryota; Viridiplantae; Streptophyta; Magnoliopsida; Vitales; Vitaceae
Description: long non-coding RNA (VVIN_LNC004802)
Source: RNAcentral
AAAAACAAAAUGCAUUGGGAGAGGAAAGAAGUGAUACCAAUCAGGAAAAACAUUAUGAGGCUGAGCAUCUAAGAUGUCUGGUUAUUUGCAAAUAAGACAAAAGUGAACCUAGAAGGCGUUAACAUUCAAAUAUUAAAGUUGAAGAGGGUUAAGGUGACCAGAAAGACAUUGGUUGAGGUAUACAGCUGAAUAACAAUGAUGGAGCCAGAAAUUGUUGAGGGGAGACAAAUAAGAAAAAUUAUGAAGCAUAAAUAGAAAAGUUAUGGAAUAUAAUGAACAUCAGUAAGUUCUUUUAUUUUGAGAAAGGUUGAUGCUACCAUCAUUAUUAUUCAAUAAAUUAAUCCAUUUUAUAUUAUUCAAUAAAUUAAGCAAUUUUAUAUCUUAGAGAUUGGGAUCUUUUAUGUAUUCUUGUUCGCCUAUCAAAAAAAUGUUCAAGAAAAGAAAUAAAUAUAUAAAUUAUUCAACCAAAACAAUGAAAACAUUAGUAAAAAUAUUUUUAAAAUUUUAUAAAAAU